RNAcentral lists this ribosomal RNA (253 nucleotides) under uncultured bacterium. Its description in RNAcentral is "partial 16S ribosomal RNA". It matches the Rfam family "Bacterial small subunit ribosomal RNA", at positions 524 to 776 of the family's 1533-position model. The record is from RNAcentral.
UACGAAGGGGGCUAGCGUUGCUCGGAAUCACUGGGCGUAAAGCGCACGUAGGCGGCUUUUUAAGUCAGAGGUGAAAUCCUGGAGCUCAACUCCAGAACUGCCUUUGAUACUGGAGAGCUUGAGUCCGGGAGAGGUGAGUGGAACUGCGAGUGUAGAGGUGAAAUUCGUAGAUAUUCGCAAGAACGCCAGUGGCGAAGGCGGCUCACUGGCCCGGUACUGACGCUGAGGUGCGAAAGCGUGGGGAGCAAACAGG